AUCCAUUAUAAAGCUAGGGUUUCUCCUACCACUCCAACUGCGCCUUAUCCUCCUCUUUCCUUUUCCUGCAGCUAUCGUUUUCUUUCACUUCACUUUCUUAUCUCGUUUUAUAUCAGGUCGAGAAUCGAAUUCCAUUUCUACACAAUAAUAUUCAUCCUUAUCACUAUAUAUCUCUCCGAUCUGCUGCUUCAUGUUUCACAAAUUGAAUAAAAAUUGCUAUUUGUGAAAUCUUAAUUUCUUGGCGACGGUUUUGCUCGAUAAGAUGUUUUCUGCGGUAAUUAAUGAAGGGUUUGGCUAUCUGAAUGAAUUGAUGGAUAAGUUGGAACACUAAAGCUCCGAUGCGCAAAUUAUUGGAAACUGAUGAGGUAAGGAAGCUCGUUUUCAAAUUUUGUACUAUUUUUGCAAGCGGUGCUUUUAUGAUUAAUAGUGGGAUGGAAUCCUAUUCAGAGGAGUUUGAUUACCUAUUUGAAGGUCUAGGGGAGCAGAUUAGUGUGCUCAAUUUGGUGGAAAGGCUUGAUGGGAUAGGUGAAAGAUUGCAAAUGAUUUUGAAUUUGGAUGAAACCAAUGAAGAGAGAAUAGUUGAAUUAUUGGGAAUUGAAUCAAAUAAAAAGAAGUUGAAGCAUUGGCGAUUCCAAUAUUUGGUAUGGGAGGAAUAGGAAAAAAAAGUGAUUUGGAUUUAAUACUUUUAAGUUGACAAAAGUUCUAGUAUGUUUAGAUGAUGUUUGGAAAGAAAAAUGAAGAGAUUUGGAUAUACUAUGAACUUUGUCAUAUCCGUUAGUCCUAAAGAAUGGGAAGAUGAGUCAAAAGUAUGAAGAAUGGUAGUAUUUUUUUAAUAUUAAAAUUCAGCUACCAAUAUCUUCCUCCUCAAUUGCAAAAAAUAUAUUUGCUUACUAAUUUAUCUUUCCCAAGGACUAUGAGUUUGAUAAAUCCAAUCUAGUAUAUUGUUGGUAAGCUAAACGGUAACCUACUUUAAGAAGGAAUUCAUUGCAAAGAUGUGGUUUGUAUGGGAGGGCUAUGAUUGUCACAAAAACUUUGAAAUUGAGGUUUUAUGCAAAUGGAAGAAUUAGAAGGUGAUUAUUUUUGGAUAAACUCUUGGCAAGAUUAUUCAUCCAAUUGUCAAGUGGCAAAUAUUCAUUUUUGGGAUGCACAACAUCCUUGAUGAUUGGAGAUACGUUGAAAAAUAUUUCUAUAAUGGUCCAUCACUUGUCAUUCAUUGAUUUAUAUAUGUGACUAGCGGUCUAAUCUUAUGACCUUUCGCCACUGCCCAUUUUGAAGAAGUAUGUUGUUCAACCGUUCUUCUUUUAUUAAGGAGCUCUGCCUGACUUAUUGCCAAAAUUGUACUGUAUUAAAAAUGCUAUCAUUAAUUGGUUAUGAUUCAAUAUAUGAGCUUCCAAGUUUUGUUGGUGGUUAUGAGACAUUUGGAGCACGAGCUAAAUGAUCCUCAAAAUGUUUCUGAUGCACUAAAGCCCCAUGAAAAUUUAUCAAGUCUUGAAAUUGAUUUUUAGGGGGAUUAAAAUUAUCUAGUUUUAUGGGGGAUUUAUCGUUAUCCAAGUUAACAAACAAGUUUUAAUGGUUGUAAUAAGUGCACGAGUUUUCCACAUUAGGGAAACUAGCUUUACCCAAAGACUUGAACGUUUGACAUGUAUCAUGUAAAAAAUGAUUGGAGCUGAGCUUCACAGAAAUGCAUGCUAAGGAGAGUUUAGCAGUUGUCAAAAGGUGUCCUCAGCUUGGUGUUCUUCCUGCUAUUAGUUUUCUUCAUAUAGAGGAUUGUGAAGCUCUGGAGUUCAUUUGUAUAUCAGCAAUUGAUGGGUACGUAUUCCAUCCAUGAGCUCAUUUCAUUUCUGUAAAACAGUUCAUUUUGCUACCUACAAAUUUCUUUUUCGUUUCAUCCACAAUAGUUUUGAGAUUUUAUGUCUCAACCUGACUUAAUAUCAUUGCAUUUCGUAGCCUGGGAUAAGUUUAGACAUUUAAAUUAAGAAUCCUUUCAUUUUAAAUUUGAAUUGAAUUUUGGCAAAACUUAAUUCGAAGUUGUCAAAUCCAGUAUUAAUAAUGUUCAUAAUGAUGCUUUGUAUCUGUUAAAUGUAUGCUUCUAUUCCCUAGAGCAUAUGUGAACAUUAUUUAGCCCUUGUUUGUGCCCCAUUUUUUCAAAAAUUCAUUUUUUCAAAAUUCAUUUUCAACCACACAUUCUCCAAUAAAAUAAUUUUACAUGUAUAUCAAAAAAAAAUUCUUAUUUUCUAACCACAUAUUCUCCGAAAAUUCACGAUACAAAAACACAUUUUCUCUUCAAAAUGGGGCUCAAACAAGGGCUUACAUUGGUUGGUUAAGCAACGAAUAAAAUCUGACUAUCAAUUCCAGUUGCCAUUGCAUUUUUUCUUUCCAUAUUUUUUUUCUUAUCCUCUGUAUCAAAUGGUUUGGUUUUAGUUUCUUCUUGUUAUCAAUGCAUCAGUUCAUUUUUUUAGUUGUAUAAUAUAUAGACUGUGCUACUAUUUUAAUAUGGAAAUCUGUAUCUAUUUUCAUUGACUUGAAAUCUUAUAUUAAAAUCUGUGGCUGAUCCUAGAUUUUUCAGUAUAAGCUUUUGGUGUAGAAUGAAAUUCAAGUCACAGGAAAUAUUUCAAUGGCCUUGUAGCCAUCCUAUUAAAUAGAAACUGAUGUUUGCAAUAGAUGGACUCGCAUAAAUAGAAACUAGAGCCUUCUGAAUGAUUAGAGUGCAGGUGAACUCUCGUAUGGCUUAAGAAAGAGAAACAAAAGGAGCCUUUUAAAUUUUCGUAAAAGUGAAGACAGGACAAUUUCACUCUGAUAAUAUGCUCACAUUAGUUUGUAUGCUAAUAUUCAUGGGUGACUAUAAAUUUUCUCUGUUGAGUUGCAUAUUGACCUGAGUGACUCUUGUUCAGGAAAUCUAAUCAAGUUUGCUUCUGAGAAUUCAGAGGCCUUGAAUUUUGAUCGAUUGGAAGAACGCCAUCUAGCUGCUGUGCCCAGAACAGAAACAUGGUUUUGUCCCUGCGCACAUCUUUCUCCCUCUUUUUAAGUAUUUUUUUAGCCAAGCAAUAGAGGUCACGAGGUCUUGGCUCGGCUGAUUUAGCACAUUCUGAACAUUUUGUUAACAAUGCUUCGAUAUAUCGUCAAUGUCGUUUUCCUGGUCUGGUCGUCCAAGUCUCUCAUCUCCUGUUCGGAUCCUCGUAAAGGCAUUCUCCUUAUUUGGCACAGCUUGUUAUAUAACUUUAGUAGUUACCCUGUGGGACAACUGGGAUAAAGGUAAAUGGGAAGAUGGUAUGUUGGAGCCAGAAGCAUUUUUGAGUUUAUAACUAAUUAAAUUGUUGUUUAAAAAAAACUCCAAAUUUUCCAACUAGAUAGAGGGUUGAUUUGAAUUUUUUUUUGUUUUUUUUUUACACUUCUAAAAUGUGUAUUUUAUUCUCUUCAAAAACUGUCAAUAUUCAUUAGAAAAUAUGUACAUAGAAGAGUUGAAGAUGAUUAUGUUGUCUUGCCAAUUUCUUUCUGCUCUUCAAUAGCAAAAUUCUACUUUUUCCAGAAAAA
RNAcentral lists this long non-coding RNA (3531 nucleotides) under Olea europaea subsp. europaea. The record is from RNAcentral. Lineage: Eukaryota; Viridiplantae; Streptophyta; Magnoliopsida; Lamiales; Oleaceae.